Molecule: ribosomal RNA, 468 nt
Filed under: uncultured bacterium
Lineage: Bacteria
Description: partial 16S ribosomal RNA
Rfam family: Bacterial small subunit ribosomal RNA
Source: RNAcentral
GACGAACGCUGGCGGCGUGCUUAACACAUGCAAGUCGAACGGUAAGGCCCUGCUUUUGUGUUGUGCUCGAGUUGCGAACGGGUGAGUAACGCGUGAGUAACCUGCCCUUGACUGUGGGAUAACUUCAGGUAACUAGGGCUAAUACCGGAUGAGAACUCCUGCUGCAUGGUGGGGGUUUGAAAGUUUCGGCGGUUGGGCAUGGAUUCGGGGCUUCUGAGCUUUUGGGAGGUGUAGUGGAUUACCAAGGCCUUGACGGGUAGCCGGCCUGAGAGUGUGACCGGCCCCAUAGGGCCUGAGGUGGGGGCAAGACUCAUACGGGGGGCAGCAGCGGGGAUCAGUGCAAAAUGCGCGGAAGCCGGAAGCAGGAACGCCGCGUCGUGGAUCACGGUCUUAGGGUUGUAACCCGCUUUCGCCUGUGACGAAGCGUGAGUGACGGUAAUGGGUAAAGAAGCACCGGCUAACUACGUG